AUUGAACGCUGGCGGCAUGCCUUACACAUGCAAGUCGAACGGCAGCAUGGAGAGCUUGCUCUCUGAUGGCGAGUGGCGAACGGGUGAGUAAUGCAUCGGAACGUACCGUGUAAUGGGGGAUAACGUAGCGAAAGUUACGCUAAUACCGCAUACGACCUGAGGGUGAAAGCAGGGGAUCGCAAGACCUUGCGUUAUACGAGCGGCCGAUGUCAGAUUAGCUAGUUGGUGAGGUAAAGGCUCACCAAGGUGACGAUCUGUAGCGGGUCUGGGAGGAUGAUCCGCCACGCUGGGACUGAGACACGGCCCAGACUCCUACGGGAGGCAGCAGUGGGGAAUUUUGGACAAUGGGGGCAACCCUGAUCCAGCCAUGCCGCGUGAGUGAAGAAGGCCUUCGGGUUGUAAAGCUCUUUCGGCCGGGAAGAAAUCGCACAGGCUAAUACUCUGUGUGGAUGACGGUACCGGCAUAAGAAGCACCGGCUAACUACGUGCCAGCAGCCGCAGUAA
This 504-nucleotide ribosomal RNA is filed under the name uncultured bacterium. RNAcentral describes it as "partial 16S ribosomal RNA". It matches the Rfam family "Bacterial small subunit ribosomal RNA", at positions 30 to 523 of the family's 1533-position model. The record is from RNAcentral.